This 76-nucleotide transfer RNA is filed under the name Candidatus Peribacteria bacterium RIFOXYA1_FULL_56_14. RNAcentral's name for it is "tRNA-Ala". It matches the Rfam family "tRNA". Rfam says of the family: Transfer RNA (tRNA) molecules are approximately 80 nucleotides in length. Their secondary structure includes four short double-helical elements and three loops (D, anti-codon, and T loops). RNAcentral also lists the same sequence under 12 other names. Lineage: Bacteria; Candidatus Peregrinibacteriota; Candidatus Peribacteria. The record is from RNAcentral.
GGGGCUGUAGCUCAUCUGGUAGAGCGCUUCCAUGGCAUGGAAGAGGCAAGGGGUUCGAGUCCCCUCAGCUCCACCA